GUCUUUUCGUAUUUAUGUAAAGUCUGACCUGCCCACUGAGAUUUUAAAGGCCGCAGUACUCUAACUGUGCAAAGGUAGCAUAAUAAUUAGUCUUUUAAUUGAAGGCUGGAAUGAACGGUUGGACGAAAUAUUAACUGUUUCAUAGGAAUUUAAAAAAGAACUUUAUUUUUUAGUCAAAAAGCUAAAAUUUUUUUAAAAGACGAGAAGACCCUAUAAAGCUUUAUACAGUGAAGUUUAAAUAUAAAAAAGAUUAAUAAAAUUUUUAAAUUUUAUUGUAAUUUAUUGGGGUGAUAUUAAAAUUUAAUAAACUUUUAAUUAUUUUUUACACUAAUUUGUGAAUAAUUGAUCCGUAUAUUACGAUUAUAAAAUUAAGUUACUUUAGGGAUAACAGCGUAAUUUUUUUGGAGAGUUCAUAUCGAUAAGAAAGAUUGCGACCUCGAUGUUGGAUUAAGGAAUAAAUUUAGGCGCAGCUGUUUAAAUGUUAAGUCUGUUCGACUUUUAAACCCUU
This 508-nucleotide ribosomal RNA is filed under the name Ethiolimnia sp. EGC-2011. Its description in RNAcentral is "partial 16S ribosomal RNA". It matches the Rfam family "Bacterial large subunit ribosomal RNA", at positions 1831 to 2597 of the family's 2925-position model. Lineage: Eukaryota; Metazoa; Arthropoda; Insecta; Diptera; Sciomyzidae. The record is from RNAcentral.